CCUACGGGAGGCAGCAGUAGGGAAUAUUGGUCAAUGGACGAAAGUCUGAACCAGCCAUCCCGCGUGCAGGACGACGGCCCUAUGGGUUGUAAACUGCUUUUAUACAGGAAGAAUAAGCCUUACGUGUAAGGUGAUGACGGUACUGUAAGAAUAAGGAUCGGCUAACUCCGUGCCAGCAGCCGCGGUAAUACGGAGGAUCCAAGCGUUGUCCGGAUUUAUUGGGUUUAAAGGGUGCGUAGGCGGUUUGUUAAGUCAGUGGUGAAAGUUUGCGGCUUAACCGUAAAAUUGCCAUUGAAACUGACAGACUUGAAUUUGGUUGAGGUUGCCGGAAUGUGUCAUGUAGCGGUGAAAUGCUUAGAUAUGAUACAGAACACCAAUUGCGAAGGCAGGUUAACUAAACCAAUAUUGACGCUGAGGCACGAAAGCGUGGGGAUCAAACAGGAUUAGAUACCCUGGUAGUCCACGCCCUAAACGUUGAUUACUCGUUGUUGGCCGAUACACUNUCNGCGACUAGACGAAGACGUAGUAAUAC
Molecule: ribosomal RNA, 532 nt
Filed under: uncultured bacterium
Lineage: Bacteria
Description: bacterial SSU rRNA
Rfam family: Bacterial small subunit ribosomal RNA
Source: RNAcentral